This 492-nucleotide ribosomal RNA is filed under the name uncultured bacterium. RNAcentral describes it as "partial 16S ribosomal RNA". It matches the Rfam family "Bacterial small subunit ribosomal RNA", at positions 29 to 507 of the family's 1533-position model. The record is from RNAcentral.
AGUGAACGCUGGCGAUAGGCCUAACACAUGCAAGUCGAACGGCAGCACAGUAAGAGCUUGCUCUUACGGGUGGCGAGUGGCGGACGGGUGAGGAAUACAUCGGAAUCUACUUUUUCGUGGGGGAUAACGUAGGGAAACUUACGCUAAUACCGCAUACGGCCUACGGGUGAAAGCAGGGGAUCUUCGGACCUUGCGCGAUUGAAUGAGCCGAUGUCGGAUUAGCUAGUUGGCGGGGUAAAGGCCCACCAAGGCGACGAUCCGUAGCUGGUCUGAGAGGAUGAUCAGCCACACUGGAACUGAGACACGGUCCAGACUCCUACGGGAGGCAGCAGUGGGGAAUAUUGGACAAUGGGCGCAAGCCUGAUCCAGCCAUACCGCGUGGGUGAAGAAGGCCUUCGGGUUGUAAAGCCCUUUUGUUGGGAAAGAAGAGCAGCAGGUUAAUACCCCGCUGUUCUGACGGUACCCAAAGAAUAAGCACCGGCUAACUUCGUG